RNAcentral lists this long non-coding RNA (1866 nucleotides) under Homo sapiens (human). RNAcentral's name for it is "HSALNT0091433". Lineage: Eukaryota; Metazoa; Chordata; Mammalia; Primates; Hominidae. The record is from RNAcentral.
UGAGCCGAGAUCGCGCCACUGCACUCCAGCCUGGGCGGCUGAGCUAGACUCCGUCUCAAAAAAAAAAAAAAAAAAAAAAAAUUCUAGUAUACAUCAUUGUAAAUGAUUGAGUUAAUCAGACCUUUCUUUCAUGGGAGUAUAAAACUGAGAUUCACAGAGAGGGAGUAGAAAUUUUAAAAAGAAAACUCUGUUUAGAGAAGUGAGGAAGAAGAAGCCGUGAGGUAGAAGUCAAGAGCUAGGAAAGAAAAUGGAGAGAGCAGCUGGUAGCAGAGUAGGAGCUGAACCGGGCCAUGGAGAAGGAACUAUCCGGAGUAGAUCUGAAACGAAGCCAAGCAAAGCAACAUCACCUUCUGGAAAGUGCAGAAACUGCAAUCAAGAUCAACAAAGAAAAGCACCCUUCCCAUAGAUUCAUCUCUUUGGCGUUUAAGUGUUUGGGCGAGUCUACAAAACUCAGAUUCCUCAUUUAACUAGAUGUUCCAGGUCACAGAGAUAUUCUACUAAGGCAAUUUUCAAAAGACCAUAAAACCACCACAUCAAUUUAUGCUUGCAGGCUAUAGUGCAGUAAUAUCAUCAUGGCUCACUGCAAUCUCGACUUCUCCAGCUCAAACAAUCCUCCCACCUCAGCCUCCCAAGCAGUUGGGACUACAGGCACGUGUCAUUACACCCAGACAGGGUAUCACUCUGUUGCCCAGGUUGGAUUCCAGUGGCAUGAUCAUGGCUCAGUGCAGUCUCGACUUCUGGGGUUCAAGCGAUUCCCCCAUCUCAGCCUCCUCAGUGGCUAGGAUCACAGGUAUACACCACCAUACCCAGAGUCAUGCAGGGUGAGCCAUUCUUGCCACUGAGAAGUAUGUCAUAUCUGAGAACAACUGACCCAGAUAAUUGCUCAGUAAGAGUAUAUUUGAGAUUAUUGAAGACUUAAAAGCAUCUCAUUAUUAAAUGUGCUAUAUCAUGUUUUUCACUUUAGGCUCCAAGUGUUUUUGACUUGAUAAAGUUUUGUUGUGUUAAUUUUGAUCACUUUAAUCUUUUAUUGGAUCAUUUUCCCACAUUAAAUUUAAAUAGGAAGAACAUAUGUACUGCUGUUUUGCCAUAAACUCUGAUGUGCCUCAACUGGCUUCCAACUUCAGUCUGUUCUGGAAGGCUGUACUUACAGGUCUCAGCCAGCAAGCUGAAACUGACAAAGGAGCGUUCCACUUCUCUGCUGUAAAAGUUGUACUUACCUUGUUUUCAUGAAACCAAUCUCCGUUUCCAAGGAAACAAGAACAAAAAGGCAGUUGGCAGCUAGCAUCUGGGACUUAGAAGAACUCUCACAUGUCAAUUUCAACUGCUGGCUGCCGGCUCAAACGUAAAGAUGUGGGGUAUUAAAAUCACCUUCAGACUUGUAACGUACAAAAGAAUAUUAAGGUUUUUUCCUUAGUGUUUAAAUAAUCAAGUUUAAUAGCAAACCAUUUAAAAUAUCCUUUGAAAUACUAUAACAAAUAUUAUAAUUGUUAAAAAUUAUCUAAUACAAAAACUUGUUUUAUUUAAAAACAGUAGGCACAUAUAUUGCAGAUAUUUUCUCAGUUUUACACCAUAAAUUUUUGCCACUUUUCCCCUUUUACUUAAUCAUUUCACUUUCUCCUUUUUAAAUAAUGAUUCAUAUGGUCCCAACUACUUACUCCUUUCUCUUUUCUUUUUUUUUUUUUUUUUUUUUUGAUUCAUGCAAAAUAUCCAGAUAGUGUCUGUUUUAUCCGUAAAGCUUUGUGGCCAUGUUUAGUGUUUUAAUAAAGUGUUUUAAUGAUGAAACAUGAAAAUGCACAUUGUCAUUUUUCUCUUAAAAAUAUAAUUUCAUGAUUCUAGGCUUGGACACCUACAUUAACACAACCUGCU